ACAGAGGGUGCGAGCGUUAAUCGGAAUUACUGGGCGUAAAGCGCACGUAGGCGGCGUGAUAAGUUGGAUGUGAAAUCCCCGGGCUUAACUUGGGAAUUGCAUUCAAGACUGUCUCGCUGGAGUCUGGGAGAGAGAAGUGGAAUUCCAGGUGUAGCGGUGAAAUGCGUAGAUAUCUGGAGGAACAUCAGUGGCGAAGGCGGCUUCUUGGCCCAAAACUGACGCUGAGGUGCGAAAGCGUGGGGAUCAAACAGGAUUAGAUACCCUGGUAGUCCACGCUGUAAACGAUGAGAACUAGACGUUGGAGGGAUUAGCCUUUCAGUGUCGCAGCUAACGCGCUAAGUUCUCCGCCUGGGGAGUACGGCCGCAAGGUUG
RNAcentral lists this ribosomal RNA (372 nucleotides) under uncultured bacterium. RNAcentral's name for it is "bacterial SSU rRNA". It matches the Rfam family "Bacterial small subunit ribosomal RNA", at positions 525 to 896 of the family's 1533-position model. The record is from RNAcentral.